AUACUACUCCCUCCAUUCGGAAAUACUUGUCAUCAAAAUGAAUAAAAAUGGAUGUAUCUAGAUGUAUAUUAAUUCUAAAUACAUCCCUUUUUAUCUAUUUUGAUGAUAAGUAUUUUGAUACGGAGGGAGUAUGUU
Non-coding RNA from Triticum aestivum (bread wheat), 135 nucleotides. The record is from Rfam. NCBI's taxonomy places the organism in Eukaryota, Viridiplantae, Streptophyta, Magnoliopsida, Poales, Poaceae.